This 376-nucleotide ribosomal RNA is filed under the name uncultured bacterium. RNAcentral describes it as "bacterial SSU rRNA". It matches the Rfam family "Bacterial small subunit ribosomal RNA", at positions 524 to 898 of the family's 1533-position model. The record is from RNAcentral.
CACGUAGGAACCUAGCGUUAUCCGAAUUUACUGGGCGUAAAGCGCGUGCAGGCGGUUUGGUAAGUUGGAUGUGAAAGCUCCUGGCUCAACUGGGAGAGGCCGUUCAAAACUACCAGACUCGAGGACGGUAGAGGGAGGUGGAAUUCCCGGUGUAGUAGUGAAAUGCGUAGAUAUCGGGAGGAACACCAGUGGCGAAGGCGGCCUCCUGGGCCGUUCCUGACGCUAAGACGCGAAAGCUAGGGGAGCGAACGGGAUUAGAAACCCCGGUAGUCCUAGCUGUAAACGAUGUGAACUGGGUGUCGGUGGGGUAAAAGCCAUCGGUGCCGAAGCUAACGCGAUAAGUUCACCGCCUGAGGAAUACGGCCGCAAGGUUAAA